This is a long non-coding RNA of Macrobrachium nipponense, 396 nucleotides long. RefSeq lists it as uncharacterized. NCBI's taxonomy places the organism in Eukaryota, Metazoa, Arthropoda, Malacostraca, Decapoda, Palaemonidae. The transcript is spliced from 3 exons. The record is from RefSeq and is a predicted model, not a curated record.
UCCUCACUCUAUGUGGAAUUUGCGCUUUGCUUUGCAUCACUGCGUGCCAUCGACUUUUCGUGCCAAUGUUCUUCUUAUCAAUUUACAUAUGUGAUGCAGGAGAAGAAAGUACAGUUUGAAACAGAUUGGGUCAAGUGUGUGUGAAUUUUUUUACGAGCGAUUCGGAGGUACGAGCAUUCUUAUGAGCUACGCUUUAAAGGGCGAACUAGAUUAUGCUCCCAUAUUCAAUAUUGGUUGGCAACUACCGGAAGCGGACAGGCUCCCAAAGAAGAGCACAGAUUAGUUAGCAAAUGGCGGAAAAGCACCUGGAGAAGAGAGAAAGCUUAGCCAAGAAGAGACUCCUAUUUAUUAAGCCGGUAAAGAUAAAAUCUGCCAGACAGGAGAGAGCAAUUUUAU